This 468-nucleotide ribosomal RNA is filed under the name uncultured bacterium. Its description in RNAcentral is "partial 16S ribosomal RNA". It matches the Rfam family "Bacterial small subunit ribosomal RNA", at positions 29 to 507 of the family's 1533-position model. The record is from RNAcentral.
ACGAACGCUGGCGGCGUGCUUAACACCUGUAAGUCGAACGGUGAAGCGAGUGCUUGCACUCGUGGAUCAGUGGCGAACGGGUGAGUAACACGUGAGUAACCUGCCCAUCACUCUGGGAUAAGCACUGGAAACGGUGUCUAAUACUGGAUACGACCAACCCUUGCAUGGGGUGUUGGUGGAAAGAUUUAUCGGUGAUGGAUGGACUCGCGGCCUAUCAGCUUGUUGGCGGGGUAAUGGCCCACCAAGGCGACGACGGGUAGCCGGCCUGAGAGGGUGACCGGCCACACUGGGACUGAGACACGGCCCAGACUCCUACGGGAGGCAGCAGUGGGGAAUAUUGCACAAUGGGCGAAAGCCUGAUGCAGCGACGCCGCGUGAGGGAUGACGGCCUUCGGGUUGUAAACCUCUUUCAGCAGGGAAGAAGCGAAAGUGACGGUACCUGCAGAAGAAGCACCGGCUAACUACGUG